GAUGAACGCUGGCGGCGUGCCUAAUACAUGCAAGUCGAGCGAACUUUUGGGAGCUUGCUCCCCAAAGUUAGCGGCGGACGGGUGAGUAACACGUGGGUAACCUGCCUGUAAGACUGGGAUAACUUCGGGAAACCGGAGCUAAUACCGGAUAACAUUGAAGCCCACAUGGCCUUCAAUUAAAAGUUGGCUUUUAGCUACCACUUACAGAUGGACCCGCGGCGCAUUAGCUAGUUGGUGAGGUAACGGCUCACCAAGGCGACGAUGCGUAGCCGACCUGAGAGGGUGAUCGGCCAAACUGGGACUGGGACACGGCCCAGAAUCCUACGGGAGGGAGCAGGAGGGAAACAUCCGCAAUGGAGGAAAGUCUGACGGAGGAACGCCGCGGGAGCGAAGAAGGCCUUCGGGUCGGAAAGGUCGGUUGUUAGGGAAGAACAAGUAGCGUUCGAAUAGGGCGGUACCUUGACGGUACCUAACCAGAAAGCCACGGCUAACUACGUG
This 498-nucleotide ribosomal RNA is filed under the name uncultured bacterium. RNAcentral's name for it is "partial 16S ribosomal RNA". It matches the Rfam family "Bacterial small subunit ribosomal RNA", at positions 28 to 507 of the family's 1533-position model. The record is from RNAcentral.